Lutibacter sp. BRH_c52 is the source of this 36-nucleotide non-coding RNA. Lineage: Bacteria; Pseudomonadati; Bacteroidota; Flavobacteriia; Flavobacteriales; Flavobacteriaceae. The record is from Rfam.
ACGGAGGAAUCCGAAAAUCCUUAAACAGAGUAGGAA